AACGGCGGUUGCACAUUUCACAUCUGCCCCAGAAGCAGGGCUCACCUUCUGAUUGAUCCAUAGCUGCUUUGUCAAGAAGAAACCAACCCUUCAGCAAUGGUAUAAAACAAGCUGUUCUCUUCAAAGCCUCAUUCUGUUCAGUGGGACUGUCAUCAGCUGGCUCCUGAGAGCACCCCCUGUCUGUGACGGUGAGUUCCCAGCUGACGGUGAGCCAUGAAGAUCCUUUAUCUGCUCUCUGCUCUCAUCUUCGUGCUGCUGCUGGGUGCCCCAGGAUCCUCUGAGGCUCGCAGCUCCAGGAGACGAUGUAGACGUAGCGGGGGUAUCUGUGUCAGUGGACCAUGUCGUGACAAUUAUAAGUUGGUUGGAAUAUGCUCUCGAAGAUACAGCUGCUGUAAAUUGCGAGAUUUUGACUGAUUGUCUAGGCAGGAUCUCCGGGAAUCUGGCAGGCAGACACGUGCUUCUAAAAUCAUCCAACCCUGCUUCAGUGGAAUGCUAAAGUGCUGUUUAUCUGGGCUGUAAAGACCCUUGUGAGCUGAAGGCAUUGCAGAAGAGAACCCAAGCAUCCCCCUUAUACAAUGCGUUACUUUUCCUUUUAAUAAAAGCAAAGUGGUUCAAGGUC
This is a long non-coding RNA of Pelodiscus sinensis (Chinese soft-shelled turtle), 619 nucleotides long. RefSeq lists it as uncharacterized. The record is from RefSeq and is a predicted model, not a curated record. Lineage: Eukaryota; Metazoa; Chordata; Testudines; Trionychidae.